GGGGCGUUAGCUCAGUUGGUAGAGCGCUAGGUUCGCAAUCUAGAGGUCGGGAGUUCGACCCUCCUACGCUCCA
Molecule: transfer RNA, 73 nt
Filed under: Bacteroidales bacterium
Lineage: Bacteria; Pseudomonadati; Bacteroidota; Bacteroidia; Bacteroidales
Description: tRNA-Ala
Rfam family: tRNA
About the family: Transfer RNA (tRNA) molecules are approximately 80 nucleotides in length.
Source: RNAcentral